This 345-nucleotide unclassified non-coding RNA is filed under the name soil metagenome. Its description in RNAcentral is "partial contains 5.8S ribosomal RNA, internal transcribed spacer 2, and large subunit ribosomal RNA". The stretch from base 1 to 120 matches the Rfam family "5.8S ribosomal RNA", at positions 35 to 154 of the family's 154-position model. The record is from RNAcentral.
GAUGAAGAACGCAGCGAAAUGCGAUACGUAAUGUGAAUUGCAGAAUUCAGUGAAUCAUCGAGUCUUUGAACGCACAUUGCGCCCCCUGGUAUUCCGGGGGGCAUGCCUGUCCGAGCGUCAUUGCUGCCCUCAAGCACGGCUUGUGUGUUGGGCCUCCGUCCUCCUCCCGGGGGACGGGCCCGAAAGGCAGCGGCGGCACCGCGUCCGGUCCUCGAGCGUAUGGGGCUUCGUCACCCGCUCUUGUAGGCCCGGCCGGCGCUUGCCGACACAUCAAUCUUUUUUCCAGGUUGACCUCGGAGCAGGUAGGGAUACCCGCUGAACUUAAGCAUAUCAAUAAGCGGAGGA